AAUGCACGCAAGUGCGAUGGGGGGACUCCGAGUGCAGUCUUCCAAAACGGAAGGCCGCUUUUCUGCACUUUAAGCAGGUGCCGAAACAAGGGGUGGGCAAGACGGCUGCCAGCCGCCGCGGUAAUAGCCGCACCCCGAGUGGUAGUCAUUGUUAUUGGGCUUAAAGUGUUCGUAGCCGGACACACAAGUCUGCUGUGAAAUCCAUGCGCUUAACGUAUGGACAUGCAGCGGAUACUGUGUGUCUAGGAACCGGACGGCGUCGAGGCUAUUCCCGGGGUAGGGGUGAAAUCCUAAAAUCCUGGGAGGAGCACCUGUGGCGAAAGCGCUCGACGAGUACGGAUUCGACGGUGAGGAACGAAAGCCAGUGGAGCAAAGCGGAUUAGAUACCCGCGUAGUACUGGCUGUAAACAUUGUGCGUUUGAUGUCGGACAACCUCCGAGGUUGUCCGGUGCCGAAGUGAAAACGUUAAACGCACCGCCUGGGGAGUACGGUCGCAAGGCUGAAACUUAAAGGAAUUGGCGGGGGAGCACGGUCAU
This 536-nucleotide ribosomal RNA is filed under the name uncultured archaeon. RNAcentral describes it as "bacterial SSU rRNA". It matches the Rfam family "Archaeal small subunit ribosomal RNA", at positions 354 to 885 of the family's 1478-position model. The record is from RNAcentral.